UACGGAGGGAGCUAGCGUUGUUCGGAAUUACUGGGCGUAAAGCGCACGUAGGCGGCUUUGUAAGUUAGAGGUGAAAGCCCGGAGCUCAACUCCGGAACUGCCUUUAAGACUGCAUCGCUAGAAUCCGGGAGAGGUGAGUGGAAUUCCGAGUGUAGAGGUGAAAUUCGUAGAUAUUCGGAAGAACACCAGUGGCGAAGGCGGCUCACUGGACCGGAAUUGACGCUGAGGUU
This 230-nucleotide ribosomal RNA is filed under the name uncultured microorganism. RNAcentral describes it as "partial 16S ribosomal RNA". It matches the Rfam family "Bacterial small subunit ribosomal RNA", at positions 524 to 753 of the family's 1533-position model. The record is from RNAcentral.